RNAcentral lists this unclassified non-coding RNA (294 nucleotides) under Hevea brasiliensis (rubber tree). Lineage: Eukaryota; Viridiplantae; Streptophyta; Magnoliopsida; Malpighiales; Euphorbiaceae. The record is from RNAcentral.
AAAAAAAAAGAUUGAUAUCCAUCUCAUGCGCCUAUUUAGUUGAAACCCAGGAGCAGAGUUAUUAAGAAACUGAUGUAGCCCCUAACCAAGCUAGAUAUUAUUAUCAGAUUGACAAGGAAAAGCAACAGUGUUAAAUUCCAAAGCAUUACUGUGAAAUAAGAACAACAUCAUGGCCAGGCGUAGAAUGGAAAUGAAGUUUCCACCUUUAGAAAACAAUAGUUACACUAAUAUUGAAUCUAAGAGUCAUAAAACUAAGAUUAGAACAGGAUUUAUUCACUUCUCAGAAAAUAACCU